Molecule: ribosomal RNA, 410 nt
Filed under: uncultured microorganism
Description: bacterial SSU rRNA
Rfam family: Bacterial small subunit ribosomal RNA
Source: RNAcentral
CAGCCGCCGCGGUAAUACGUAGGGUGCGAGCGUUAAUCGGAUUUACUGGGCGUAAAGCGUGCGCAGGCGGCCCGUUAAGACAGGUGUGAAAUCCCUGGGCUCAACCUAGGAAUUGCGCUUGUGACUGGCGGGCUCGAGUACGGUAGAGGGGGGUGGAAUUCCUGGUGUAGCAGUGAAAUGCGUAGAGCUCAGGAGGAACACCGAUGGCGAAGGCAGCCCCCUGGGCCUGUACUGACGCUCAUGCACGAAAGCGUGGGGAGCAAACAGGAUUAGAUACCCUGGUAGUCCACGCCCUAAACGAUGGGUACUAGCCGUUUGGUGCGCGAUAGCGCUGAGUGGCGAAGCUAACGCGUGAAGUACCCCGCCUGGGGAGUACGGCCGCAAGGUUGAAACUUAAAGGAAUUGGCGGG